AGCAGCCGCGGUAAUUCCAGCUCCAAUAGCGUAUAUUAAAGUUGUUGCAGUUAAAAAGCUCGUAGUUGAAUUUCGGGACCAAUAUGUCGGUCGUGCCUCGGUACGUACUGGUGUCAUUGGUUUCUCCCUUCUGAGGAUCCUUGAUGUCAUUAAUUUGGUGUCUUGGGGAAUCAGGACUGUUACCUUGAAAAAAUUAGAGUGUUUAAAGCAGGCAUACGCUUGAAUACAUUAGCAUGGAAUAAUGAAAUAGGACGUUCGAUUCUAUUUUGUUGGUUUCUAGGAUCGACGUAAUGAUUAAUAGGGAUAGUUGGGGGCAUUAGUAUUCAAUUGUCAGAGGUGAAAUUCUCGGAUUUAUUGAAGACUAACUACUGCGAAAGCAUUUGCCAAGGAUGUUUUCAUUAAUCAAGAACGAAAGUUAGGGGAUCGAAGACGAUCAGAUACCGUCGUAGUCUUAACCAUAAACUAUGCCGACUAGGGAUCGGAUGAUGUUAAUUUUUAAUGACUCAUUCGGCGCCUUAAC
This 520-nucleotide ribosomal RNA is filed under the name uncultured Glomus. Its description in RNAcentral is "SSU rRNA". It matches the Rfam family "Eukaryotic small subunit ribosomal RNA", at positions 569 to 1092 of the family's 1831-position model. The record is from RNAcentral. Lineage: Eukaryota; Fungi; Glomeromycota; Glomeromycetes; Glomerales; Glomeraceae.